GAUGAACGCUGGCGGCGUGCCUAAUACAUGCAAGUCGAGCGAACAGACGAGGAGCUUGCUCCUCUGACGUUAGCGGCGGACGGGUGAGUAACACGUGGAUAACCUACCUAUAAGACUGGGAUAACUUCGGGAAACCGGAGCUAAUACCGGAUAAUAUAUUGAACCGCAUGGUUCAAUAGUGAAAGACGGUUUUGCUGUCACUUAUAGAUGGAUCCGCGCCGCAUUAGCUAGUUGGUAAGGUAACGGCUUACCAAGGCAACGAUGCGUAGCCGACCUGAGAGGGUGAUCGGCCACACUGAAACUGAGACACGGUCCAGACUCCUACGGGAGGCAGCAGUAGGGAAUCUUCCGCAAUGGGCGAAAGCCUGACGGAGCAACGCCGCGUGAGUGAUGAAGGUCUGCGGAUCGUAAAACUCUGUUAUUAGGGAAGAACAAAUGUGUAAGUAACGAUGCACGUCUGGACGGUACCUAAGCAGAAAGCCACGGCUAACUACGG
RNAcentral lists this ribosomal RNA (496 nucleotides) under uncultured bacterium. Its description in RNAcentral is "partial 16S ribosomal RNA". It matches the Rfam family "Bacterial small subunit ribosomal RNA", at positions 28 to 506 of the family's 1533-position model. The record is from RNAcentral.